GCGGGGCAGCCAUGGCGGCGCUGCGUGCCGCUCUGCUGGCGCCGCUGCUGGCGCUGUGCCGGGCCGGGCCGGGACCGGCGGCCUCAGCCCGCGUGGAAGUGGCCGUGUCGGGGCCGGGGGACGCGGCCGGGGUCGGCGACGGGACGGCGGCGGGGCCCGGCGGCUCCUACACGCUGCGCGGGGCCCUGCUGGGCGCGGCGGGAGGCGGGAGCGGGCCGGGCCGCGGGGCGCCGCGGGAAGAGGAGAUCGGGGGGCGGCUGGUGCUGGUGGGGGAUGCGGAGCCGGAGCUGGGUGCUGCUGACAGCUGGAUCGGGGUGGUGCCCGUGGGCGAGGAGCCGGCAGACAGCCCCCGCAGCGCCAAGGAGGAGUCCUUCACUGCUGCCGUGGUCAGCAAGAUGAAGCGAGCCCUGGUGCUGGGGGCCUCAGCCCUGCUCAUCCUGGCGCUGAACCAGAAUGCGAUCCGAGAGCUGGAUGUCUCCCAGCUCCUUGCCAAGCCCGUCAUCGUGAUCCAGUCGUCGGACAAUGUCACCAGGCUGCUGGGAGCACUGCUGCGAGGACUACGGGCUACAGCGAAGAUCACAUACCAGGCGGUGCUGCUGGAGAACCUGGGGGUGACACUCACCCUGUGGUCCACCUGUGGCCUGUCCCGAGGGGGCCUCUAUGGCGAGUGGCAGGGUGUCAUCUGCACCGGGGAGAACAGCUCACAGGUCCAGAAGUACCUGCAGCAGCUGUGGAACACCAUCCUGCUUGUUGCUCUGCUCCUCUGCACAGGGGUGAUCGUGCAGGCGCAGCGGCAGUCACGGCAAGGCCUGUCGGAGCGGGAUGCUGAGCUGGACCUGAAGCAGCACAUUCGGCGGCGGCUGUUGGCCCUGAAGACACGGCGGUACAAUCCUGGCAGGGCACUGCGGAGCCGGGCCUGUGAGAUAGAUAGCUGUGCUGUGUGCCUGGACCAGUUCAGCAAGAGCCAGUGGCUGCGAGUGCUGCCAUGUUCCCAUGAGUUUCACCGGGACUGUGUGGACCCCUGGCUCCUCCUGCAGCAGACCUGCCCACUCUGCAAGCAUAACAUCCUAGGGAACUGCUGUGGAGAGAGCUAGUCGGCCCAAUGGACGCGCUCCGGGGACAGAUGGACCCACGGGGCAGGCGUGGGGUGAGCUGUGCUCGGAGCUGGAGCAGGCUCAGCACAGCCUUGCCCUUUGCAGCACCAGGCAGUGCCUGGCUCUUAGGAGAGUGAAGACUUUGGGGGGUUCUCCCUGCUUGGUGUCGCUGCCGGGCCUUGCUGGUGGCUCUAUGCGAUCCUGUGCCAUCUCCACUGCCUUGGAGGCUCGGAGGUCUGUGGAGGGGAGAAGUGGAAGAGGUUGAAGGAGAGUAAGAAAUGGAAGCCCCCCCAGUGCUGUCCUCUCUGCUGCCACUCACCCUGCAGUCUCCCCUCCACGCUGACUGCUGAGCUGAGUCCACAGCUGGGUCUGUGGGAUGUGCUGGGGAAGAGAGAGGAGGUGAAACUCCCAUGUUUGGCUCCUUGAUUGCUUAUCUCGGCUUUUGCCAUGGGUGGAUUGCACUGCUAAGCAGGUAGUGGCGAAACGGAGGCACAACAGCUGGGAACCAGCCCUGGGCACCUCAGCAAAGCAGCUCACUGCUGCUGGUUCAACCAGACCGAUCUCUGGAGGGACACCACAAAACCAGGGAGCUGGGCUUCCUUCUGCUCAGCCCCACGAGAAGCAGAUCCGGAGCCCCAGGCAAUGCUGCACAAGGAGCACCACAGCCUUCCCCUCCUGGGAGUCUUUUCUCUUUUACCUCCUGUAAGGGUACGGCCAAGGAACCGAUCCCCAGGGGUUGUGGGACAGGGUUUGCAGGGUGGCCCUGGGGCAUGCAGUAUACCCCAUCCUGCCAACCCCCCAGCUCACCUGCAGCACACCCUGCUGAGCAGCUGCCUUCACCUUGGCCAGUGCAGCCCUGAGUCGCAUGUUCUCCUGCUCCAGCACACCAAUCCUGAUGUGGUUGGCCUGCAGCUGCUUCUCCAUGUCCUCCGUGAUGUUCCCAGUGCCUGCAAAUGAAACAUGGUGCUUCGUGUCAAGCCCGAGCUCAACACACUACCCAAACUUGCACAGAGGUGCUGGCAGCAGAGCCUGUCCCUGCUCCCUGGGACCACUUGCUCUUCUGUCCUCCCCCUUGAGCAAGGCGGUAGCUGCUGGAAGUGAACCCUCCUGAACUGGAGAACAACAGCAUGACCCUGGAAGCGGCAGCUGGGAACCCAAUCUGUCAUUUGAAGCAGCAAGGACAAAUGCAGCCAUGUCCAAGCCCUUGCCCUGCUUUUGUGCCAGAUGUGGGACACACAGCACCCACAUAAAGAAUCAGGUUAAGAUGGUAGCGGCUUAUUGCCUCACAGGGACUGAGCCCUUCCUGGCUGUAACUGACUCAUGUCAGGAGGACAGGCUGUUAUACAAGUGACACUAAUGUGCCCAGGGCUGACAGGAUCCCAUGUGAGCUCCAGGAGACCCCAGAGGUACAAGCCUGCUGCUGCAAAAGCAGGCACUGCUGCCUGCUGCCCUGUCCCUUACUCUCAAACUGUGUCUCAAUGGGAAUGUGGAGCUCAGGGAAGAACACCAGGAGUUUCUCCCGCUCCUUCAGAUCCUUUGCCUGCUCCUCCAGCCUGGAGACAUUCUCCUGUAGCUUAGAGACGGACUGCUCCAGGCUCAGCUUCUCCUGCUGCAAUGUGUCCAGCAGCUCCUGUGGGGCCAGAACAGACAGGCUCUGCUCGGCCUCCUUCCUCUGCUGUGCUUGGAUCUCCUUCUCCGCCUGAAGCAGCCGAGCAAAGUCCUUCACCUGUUUCCGCAGCUCAUCCUUCUCCUUCUUUGACUCUGCCAGCUCAGACUUCAGAGAGUUGACCUGCUCCAGCAGCGAGUGGAGCUGUUUGCUGAUGCAUGAGAGGUUUUUGCUUUGCUCCGAGACCCAGUAGCUCACAUCAGUUGCAGAGAGGGUCCUUCUUCCCUCAGUGCCCUCCACCAGCUCCUGGAACCUGCUCAGAGCCGAAGGGAUGUUCUGGCUCUGGCAGAUACUGGUGAUGGCUUUGCUGAUCUCUUGAAGGCCAGCCUGGGCACUGGCACAGGUAUCACAGGGUGCUGGAGGCUCUGCUGCCUGUAUGGGGAUGCUGUGGCUGCGCUCAGCAGUGCUGCAGGCAGGUCUGGGCUGGGAGCUGCCUGAGGUGUUGCUGGCAGCCUGCCAUGGGGAGCUGGGCUGGGCAGCACCUGGGGGUGUGCUUGGCUCUGAAGUAGAUGGCAAGCAGUCCUUCAAGCAUUCCUUUGCAGUUCUCUCAGCCUCAGGGGUGGAUUGUAAUGCAGCGAUAUCCUUCCUGCAAGACUUCUUCUGGUGAAAAGAGCACAGGACACAAUCAUAGAGCCCAGACUGAACCUCAUCAUCAGCAAACAAUUCAGGAGAGCUGAAUGCAGAGGUAUGAAGGAUGGGGACAGGACAUCAGUGCAGCCAAGAAGCUAAAAGAUCAGAGCAUGCAUUCUCAGAGCUUGCUGGAGGACAGAGCUACCAAGUGCUCAGGGUUCACUAUUUAUUGUGUUACAGUGAAAGCAGGUGGCCUGUAAGCAAAAUGAUGCUUACACACAGCAUGGGUUACCAUUGGUUCUGCCUGACACCAGGUAACUGGAUUUCUCAAGCUCCCCAAAAAGGUAGCUUUUUGGUCACUGCUUACCUAGCAGAGCUGUGGUUUCACAAAGCUGCUGCAGCAGAACCUCCUCCCUGGCUCUUGUUUUUGUUAUUUUCCCUUCUGUCACACCUCACUGUACUGCCUCCUGGUUAUGUGAGAUGAAUUAUUCUGACACUAUGCCAAGAGAGGCAUCAUUUUGAAAAUAAAUGUAGGGGGGAGGCAUGAUA
Gallus gallus (chicken) is the source of this 3879-nucleotide RNA transcript. It is a transcript of the gene named ring finger protein 215, with no coding region annotated. The record is from RefSeq and is a predicted model, not a curated record. NCBI's taxonomy places the organism in Eukaryota, Metazoa, Chordata, Aves, Galliformes, Phasianidae. The transcript is spliced from 12 exons.